GGUCUUAUAUUCAACUAUGAUUUUAAACUGCAAAUUUAAAGGUAGGGUUCUCCUUAAGGCUU
RNAcentral lists this transfer RNA (62 nucleotides) under Sambus kanssuensis. Its description in RNAcentral is "tRNA-Cys". The record is from RNAcentral. Lineage: Eukaryota; Metazoa; Arthropoda; Insecta; Coleoptera; Buprestidae.